This 3127-nucleotide long non-coding RNA is filed under the name Capsella grandiflora. RNAcentral describes it as "long non-coding RNA (CGRA_LNC000220)". The record is from RNAcentral. Lineage: Eukaryota; Viridiplantae; Streptophyta; Magnoliopsida; Brassicales; Brassicaceae.
CUGGAGCUUGCUGGUAACGCAGCGAGAGACAACAAGAAGACGAGGAUCAUACCGAGGCAUCUUCUUCUUGCGAUAAGGAACGAUGAAGAACUGGGAAGGCUUCUGAGUGGAGUUACGAUUGCUCACGGUGGUGUUUUGCCUAACAUUCACUCCGUUCUUCUCCCUAAGAAGACGGCUUCUACUAAAUCAACUGAGGAAAAGGUCUCCAAAUCACCAGUCAAGUCUCCCAAGAAAGCUUAAAAUCUUUGCGAACGAGAUCUUAUGUUUGUGUUGGGCUUUGGUGGAUGUAGUUAAAUUCAAGCUUUUUAAUCUUAGUUUUUAUGUAUUUUGUUGUUAGAUGUUUGUUCAAAAUCCAUUUCCUGAUUAUAAGAUCCUAUCUGCUUUGUCCUUAAUCACUCUGGCCCAAUUAGCGAAAUAAUACUUUUAUUCACAGAGAUAAUUCUCAAUGUGGUCAAGAAUGUAUAAACUGUUCUCCUCUCUCUUUGUUCGUUGUAAUUCCAGAACAUUGCUUUGCAGUAGCGUCCAUAGUGAUCAAUAACACUUGUUCUACCCGAGAAACAAUAAAAUGUGCACUCAAUGUGUUUGUGCAAAUGCGUGAAGAAACAACGAGUUGCAGGGCUAUCUUAUGAUACCAAUGAGCCUGUGUUGAAGAGUGAGUUUGGUGAAGUUAUGAAUCGCCAAUUGAAAUCUGUUAGUCUUGUACAAAAUUCCUAUACGGAUAAACAAAUGUAAAUAGAAUUUAACAGUAAGAGUAAUAUGUGAUCACUAGAGCGGGGAAUUAAAAGGUAAUGGCUUUGUAUUGUUCCAUUCGGAAAAGAGGCUGCAACUACAAGUGCCUUAGCCUUAGCUUCCAUGAACAAUCAUGUAUACAUUCACAGUAAGCCACGUGUGUAAUGGCAUACAAGCAAUGAUUCUUCCUUGAUAAAUUCAAGGGACGAUGGAUGAUAUCAACUAAAUCAGCUAAUGUUUUUCGAAACUAAACUACAAACUACAAAGCAUAUGUUUUCUAAACUAAACGACAAGGCAUACCACGUUAAUGUUUCCGAUAACAUAGUAGGAUAGAACACAACAUGUCUCUACACAAACUCGAUGUAUAUGAGUAUAUCUUUAAAGAUGUCCAAAGUUUUUAGGUGUUUUGGACCUUUUGUUAUUGGAAUAUCACUAACUCUUUGAGAAAGUCUAAAACGGUUGUUAGAGUGCCCGAUCUUUGUCUUUCUUUUACUAGCUAGGCAGAAGCAUUUCUCUUAGUUCUUGAUCGUAUUUCCCUAUUUCUCGAUCGACUAGAAAGCUUUUGUUGAACCAUUGUUUCAAUAGCAUUUAGGCUGACGUAUUUUUAGGUCAGAUCGAAUGAACUAAAAACCUUACUUCCUUUGAGAUUUGAUGAUUCUUGAUAACACCCUUAACACUAGAGGCCUUUAUGCCGGCACUCAAAAGGCUCACAUCUACAUCUGCAAAAUGACAUUCCUCGUUAUGGACCUCUCGUGAUAAUUACUUAAUCUUCCUUUAGGACUAAUUAUUAUUCCGACAGAAUAAGAUAUGUCUCCUUUUCGAAUUCAACAUUCUUUUAUCGUUGACUGGUUCAAUAAUUUAUGUUCUCAGCUAAGUUUUGUAUCGACUCUUAGAUAAACAAACAAACAGAGAUAGCCAAAAAUAUACUCUGACUAGAAAACAAUUCAUACUAUGUAUUGAUGAUCAUAUGUUAUAAUGAAAAACAAACAUGUAGGUUAAAUCCAGCGUUUAAACCUUUUUAGGUUUACGUGUUUGGUUUCCAAACUUGUUUUAUAUCCUACAAUUUCUCUAAGUAACAGUUAAAUGUUUUAAUAAUCUUAUCUAUUCAAUGUUAGUAUUUUUAAUCAACUCAAUUAUGACUUUGUACAUUACAAUAUCUUUAUACAAUAACUAGAUUAGCAUAAAUUAAACACUCCAUAAUUCCUGAAGUCGUUACUUAUUUGCGAAUUAGGUUUUCUUUUCAAAAUAUUUUCCAGAAACAAAGUUAAUAAAGUCUUCCAUGAUUCGGAAGUUGUUACAGGCCUUUGAAUUUACUGCUAAAACGUGUCCAUUUUAGAUUAGAUUUCUCAUAUGCUAUUUUAUGACCUCACAAUAUCGUUCAUUCAAUUAAAAAGAUGAACUAUCAUGUUGUUGCACAAUAAAGAAUAUAUGAUUAACAAUGUAAAACCUAGUGUUCUAUAAUCUUACACAUCAACCAAUCAAUAUAAUCAUGAUUUUUUACCAUAAAAUUAAAAUGUAUCUGAUCUACCAUUAAUUUACAAAACAAUAGCGCAAAUUUUGUAAAUUAAUUCACCAAAAAACUUAAAAAUACAGACAAAAAACUGGCGCGUUUUCAAAAACCACAAAACGCUUCUCAUUGGCUAAUACAUAGAGACGGGGAUCGUGUUACGUUUAACAUCCGCCGUCGAUAGCGGUAAAUCCAACGGACAAAACAACCUCUCUUAUUUUUCCCUCUCACCUAUAAAACAACCAUACAGAGUACCUUAAGCUUUAAAUCACAAAUCUCCAAACACUAAAGUAGAUUCAGUAAUCAGUAAGUGUAAGUAACAAUGGAAGCCACCGGAAAAGUGAAGAAAGCUUUCGGAGGAAGAAAAGCCGGCGGUCCAAAGGCCAAAUCAGUUUCGAAAUCGAUCAAAGCCGGUCUCCAGUUCCCGGUGGGAAGAAUCACCCGUUUCCUGAAGAAAGGUCGUUACGCUCAGAGGCUCGGUGGUGGUGCUCCUGUUUACAUGGCCGCCGUUCUCGAAUACCUCGCCGCCGAAGUAAGUUAACUCAGAUCUAGCAAUUUUGAACAGUUAAUUCUUUUUCGGAGGAUUCAUUUUUUCUGAUUCUCAAUUUCGAUUUAUUUUUUUCCAGGUUCUGGAGCUUGCUGGUAACGCAGCGAGAGAUAACAAGAAGACGAGGAUCAUACCGAGGCAUCUUCUUCUUGCGAUAAGGAAUGAUGAAGAACUUGGAAGGCUUCUGAGUGGAGUCACCAUUGCUCACGGUGGUGUUUUGCCUAACAUUCACUCCGUUCUUCUACCUAAGAAGACGGCUUCUACUAAAUCAACUGAGGAAAAGGUCUCCAAAUCACCAGUCAAGUCUCCCAAGAAAGCUUAAUGCAUUCACGAAAACGUGAUCU